UCAAUGUGGCGAACCGAGCGUCAGCGAGGUUUCGCGAUCAUUUGUAUUUAAAACCCAACUCUUAAUAUAAUUUAUAUUAUUAUAUGAAUCAUAUAAAAAAGA
Molecule: unclassified non-coding RNA, 102 nt
Filed under: uncultured Glomeromycotina
Lineage: Eukaryota; Fungi; Glomeromycota
Description: sequence contains ITS1
Source: RNAcentral